UACGUAGGUGGCAAGCGUUGUCCGGAAUUAUUGGGCGUAAAGGGUGCGUAGGCGGCGCGGUAAGUCGGGUGUGAAAUCUCGGAGCUUAACUCCGAAACUGCAUUCGAUACUGCCGUGCUUGAGGACUGGAGAGGAGACUGGAAUUUACGGUGUAGCGGUGAAAUGCGUAGAUAUCGUAAGGAAGACCAGUGGCGAAGGCGGGUCUCUGGACUGCAACUGACACUGAAAAACGAAAGCCAGGGGAGCAAACGGG
RNAcentral lists this ribosomal RNA (253 nucleotides) under uncultured bacterium. RNAcentral describes it as "partial 16S ribosomal RNA". It matches the Rfam family "Bacterial small subunit ribosomal RNA", at positions 524 to 776 of the family's 1533-position model. The record is from RNAcentral.